AUUGAACGCUGGCGGCAGGCCUAACACAUGCAAGUCGAGCGGAUGAAGGGAGCUUGCUCCUGUAUUCAGCGGCGGACGGGUGAGUAAUGCCUAGGAAUCUGCCUGGUCGUGGGGGAUAACGUCCGGAAACGGGCGCUAAUACCGCAUACGUCCUGAGGUAGAAAGUGGGGGAUCUUCGGACCUCACGCUAUCAGAUGAGCCUAGGUCGGAUUAGCUAGUUGGUGGGGUAAAGGCCUACCAAGGCGACGAUCCGUAACUGGUCUGAGAGGAUGAUCAGUCACACUGGAACUGAGACACGGUCCAGACUCCUACGGGAGGCAGCAGUGGGGAAUAUUGGACAAUGGGCGAAAGCCUGAUCCAGCCAUGCCGCGUGUGUGAAGAAGGUCUUCGGAUUGUAAAGCACUUUAAGUUGGGAGGAAGGGCAGUAAGUGAAUACAUUGCUGUUUUGACGUUACCAACAGAAUAAGCACCGGCUAACUUCGUG
Molecule: ribosomal RNA, 484 nt
Filed under: uncultured bacterium
Lineage: Bacteria
Description: partial 16S ribosomal RNA
Rfam family: Bacterial small subunit ribosomal RNA
Source: RNAcentral